RNAcentral lists this ribosomal RNA (478 nucleotides) under uncultured bacterium. RNAcentral's name for it is "partial 16S ribosomal RNA". It matches the Rfam family "Bacterial small subunit ribosomal RNA", at positions 28 to 523 of the family's 1533-position model. The record is from RNAcentral.
GACGAACGCUGGCGGCGUGCUUAACACAUGCAAGUCGAACGGUAAGGCCCUUCGGGGUACACGAGUGGCGAACGGGUGAGUAACACGUGGGUGAUCUGCCCUGCACUUCGGGAUAAGCCUGGGAAACUGGGUCUAAUACCGGAUAGGACCACUGCCUGCAUGGGUGGUGGUGGAAAGCUUUUGCGGUGUGGGAUGGGCCCGCGGCCUAUCAGCUUGUUGGUGGGGUGAUGGCCUACCAAGGCGACGACGGGUAGCCGGCCUGAGAGGGUGACCGGCCACACUGGGAGUGAGAUACUGCCCAGACUCCUACGGGAGGCAGCAGUGGGGAAUAUUGCACAAUGGGCGCAAGCCUGAUGCAGCGACGCCGCGUGAGGGAUGACGGCCUUCGGGUUGUAAACCUCUUUCAGCACCGACGAAGCGCAAGUGACGGUAGGUGCAGAAGAAGGACCGGCCAACUACGUGCCAGCCGCCGCAGUAA